AUUUGUGGUGUGGACCUGUAGUUCCAGCUAUUCAGGAGGCUGAUGUAGAAGGAUUACUUGAGCCCAGGAGUUCUGGGCUAUAGUGCUCUGUGCUAAUCAGGUGCCUACAGUUAAGUUUAGCAUCAAUAUGGUGACUUCCCAGAGAGGAGGACCACAAGGUUGCAUAAGGAGGGAUGAAUUGGUCCAGGUCAGAAACGGAGGAGGUCAAAACUCCCAUGUAGUUCAGUAGUGGUAUUAUGUCUGUGAAUAGCCACUGUACUCCAGCCCGGGCAACAUAGUAAGACCCUGUCUCUU
Unclassified non-coding RNA from Callithrix jacchus (white-tufted-ear marmoset), 294 nucleotides. It matches the Rfam family "Metazoan signal recognition particle RNA". Rfam says of the family: The signal recognition particle (SRP) is a universally conserved ribonucleoprotein. It is involved in the co-translational targeting of proteins to membranes. Lineage: Eukaryota; Metazoa; Chordata; Mammalia; Primates; Cebidae. The record is from Ensembl.